GUGGCUGUGGCUCAGCUGGUAGAGCACUGGGUUGUGGUCCCGGGGGUCGCGGGUUCGAGUCCCGUCAGUCACCC
RNAcentral lists this transfer RNA (74 nucleotides) under Longispora fulva. RNAcentral's name for it is "tRNA-His". It matches the Rfam family "tRNA". Rfam says of the family: Transfer RNA (tRNA) molecules are approximately 80 nucleotides in length. Their secondary structure includes four short double-helical elements and three loops (D, anti-codon, and T loops). The record is from RNAcentral. Lineage: Bacteria; Bacillati; Actinomycetota; Actinomycetes; Micromonosporales; Micromonosporaceae.